GUGGAUUGUGAGAGCUCACUAGAAUUGUUCUGGAUCGACAAUCCUUACUGAGUUAGAGUAAAAUUAUUCCGACAUUGAAAAGAGUUUCAAUGAUACGAUGAUAGAAAUCAUUGUAUGUCUCACUACCAAAUAGAAUUGAAUCUAUGAGAUCACACAACAAAGAGAUUAGGUCUGAAAUAAAUAAUUGAGCUUAUAAAGUAUCAAUUGGAU
This 210-nucleotide long non-coding RNA is filed under the name Elaeis guineensis (African oil palm). Its description in RNAcentral is "long non-coding RNA (EGUI_LNC021675)". The record is from RNAcentral. Lineage: Eukaryota; Viridiplantae; Streptophyta; Magnoliopsida; Arecales; Arecaceae.